Oryctolagus cuniculus (rabbit) is the source of this 430-nucleotide non-coding RNA. Lineage: Eukaryota; Metazoa; Chordata; Mammalia; Lagomorpha; Leporidae. The record is from RefSeq and is a predicted model, not a curated record.
CCCAUGUGAGGUGUCAAGACACAGACACACACAUGUGACCCCCAUGUGAGGUGUCCAGGCACAGAAACAUGUGACCCCCCCACAUGAGGUGUCCAGGCAGACACAUGUGACCCCAUGUGAGGUUUCCAGGCACAGACACACACAUGUGACCCUCAUGUGAGGUUUCCAGGCACAGACACACACAUGUGACCCUCAUGUGAGGUGUCCAGACAGGUAAAAUGCACAAAGAUAAAAAGGAGCAGGGUAGGGGCUGGGAAGAGGGUGUGGGGAUUGUGUAACGGACAGAGUUUCAGUUUAGCAAAAAAACAUGACUGAUCUAACACUUAAAAAUGGUAAUAUGGAAGAUUUUAUGUUCUGUAUCUUCUGUAAUUAAACAAUAAAAGACAGGUCUAGCAGUUAAGACCCUCAUACCCUAUAUCAGCACACCUGG